CCUACGGGUGGCAGCAGUGGGGAAUAUUGCACAAUGGGGGAAACCCUGAUGCAGCGACGCCGCGUGAGUGAAGAAGUAAUUCGUUAUGUAAAGCUCUUUCAGCAGGGAAGAAAAUGACGGUACUUGAGUAAGAAGACACGGCUAACUACGUGCCAGCAGCCGCGGUAAUACGUAGGGGGCAAGCAGUAUCCGGAUUUAAUGGGUGUAAAGGGGGCGUAGACGGCAGUGCAAGUCUGGAGUUAAAGGCGGGGGCUCAACCCCCGGACUGCUCUGGAAACUGUACGGCUUGAGUGCAGGAGAGGUAAAUGGAAUUCCUAGUGUAGCGGUGAAAUGCGUAGAUAUUAGGAGGAACACCAGUGGCGAAGGCGGCUUACUGGACUGUAACUGACGUUGAGGCUCGAGAGCGUGGGGAGCAAACAGGAUUAGAUACCCGUGUAGUC
Molecule: ribosomal RNA, 440 nt
Filed under: uncultured bacterium
Lineage: Bacteria
Description: partial 16S ribosomal RNA
Rfam family: Bacterial small subunit ribosomal RNA
Source: RNAcentral